RNAcentral lists this ribosomal RNA (447 nucleotides) under uncultured bacterium. RNAcentral's name for it is "bacterial SSU rRNA". It matches the Rfam family "Bacterial small subunit ribosomal RNA", at positions 355 to 825 of the family's 1533-position model. The record is from RNAcentral.
UCGGGAAUUUUGGGCAAUGGGCGAAAGCCUGAUCCAGCCAUGCCGCGUGAGUGACGAAGGCCUUAGGGUUGUAAAACUCUUUCGUCGGGGACGAUAAUGACGGUACCCGAAGAAGAAGCUCCGGCUAACUUCGUGCCAGCAGCCGCGGUAAUACGAAGGGGGCUAGCGUUGUUCGGAUUUACUGGGCGUAAAGCGCGUGUAGGCGGGUCGUUAAGUUGGGGGUGAAAUCCCGAGGCUCAACCUCGGAACUGCCUUCAAAACUGGCGACCUGGACUCAAGCAGAGGCAAGUGGAAUUGCGAGUGUAGAGGUGAAAUUCGUAGAUAUUCGCAGGAACACCAGUGGCGAAGGCGACUUGCUGGGCUUGUAGUGACGCUGAGACGCGAAAGCGUGGGGAGCAAACAGGAUUAGAUACCCCCGUAGUCCCUGAGCGGGCUGGCAAGGCGCAU